This 465-nucleotide ribosomal RNA is filed under the name uncultured bacterium. RNAcentral's name for it is "partial 16S ribosomal RNA". It matches the Rfam family "Bacterial small subunit ribosomal RNA", at positions 338 to 795 of the family's 1533-position model. The record is from RNAcentral.
CCUACGUGUGGCAGCAGUGGGGAAUAUUGCGCAAUGGGCGAAAGCCUGACGCAGCGACGCCGCGUGAGGGAUGAAGGUCUUCGGAUCGUAAACCUCUGUCAGCAGGGAAGAACGGUCACUGUGCUAAUCAGCAGUGAAUUGACGGUACCAGCAAAGGAAGCACCGGCUAACUCCGUACGAGCAGCCGCGGUAAUACGGAGGAUGCUAGCGUUAAUCGGAUUUACUGGGCGUAAAGCGCUCGUAGGCGGUAUGUCAAGUCAAGGGUGAAAUCCCCGCGCUCAACGUGGGAACUGCCUUUGAUACUGGCAAACUUGAGUGUGUGAGAGGAUGGUGGAAUUCCAGGUGUAGGAGUGAAAUCCGUAGAUAUCGGGAAGAACAUCGAUUGCGAAGGCGACUAUCUGGCACAUAACUGACGCUGAGGAGCGAAAGCGUGGGUAGCAAACAGGAUUAGAUACCCUAGUAGUC